GAUCCUGGCUCAGAACGAACGCUGGCGGCAUGGAUUAGGCAUGCAAGUCGAACGGACGUAGCAAUACGUUAGUGGCGAAAGGGUGAGGAACGCGUGAGUAACCUGCCCCCAAGUUGGGAAUAACAGCUGGAAACGGCUGCUAAUACCUGAUGUGGUAGUAAAGUGGCAUCACAUUACUACUAAAGAUUUAUCGCUUGGGGAUGGGCUCGCGUCCCAUUAGCUAGUUGGUGAGGUAACGGCUCACCAAGG
This 249-nucleotide ribosomal RNA is filed under the name uncultured bacterium. RNAcentral describes it as "partial 16S ribosomal RNA". It matches the Rfam family "Bacterial small subunit ribosomal RNA", at positions 15 to 273 of the family's 1533-position model. The record is from RNAcentral.